RNAcentral lists this long non-coding RNA (901 nucleotides) under Homo sapiens (human). RNAcentral describes it as "non-protein coding lnc-UBXN4-4:1". Lineage: Eukaryota; Metazoa; Chordata; Mammalia; Primates; Hominidae. The record is from RNAcentral.
GCCAGCUUAGGCUUCGUGAGGAUCUUUCAGGAUGGCUUCCUAGCACAGCCUGUGGCAGCUCAUCAGGGAACAAAGAAGAAAUGACAGUGUCCCUGCCCUUGAGAAGCUGAUACUCCAGUGAGAGAAGAAAACAGGCAAAGAGAAAGAUGUCACGAUGACAAAGUAACAUUGAAAUGAAUGUAGAAGAUAAUUGUGGGGGUUCGGUAAGGUGGGAAUGAGUAGAGUGCAUUGAAGUGAGACUCACCCUGGAACCCUGUCCAGUGAUACUGUCUUAGUCGGUUCUGGCUACUAUAAUGAAAUACCAUAGACUGGCUGGCAUGUAAAUAACAUAAACUUAUGUCUCACAGUUCUGAAGGCUUGGAAGUCCAAGAUCAAGACACCAGCAAAUUUUGUGUCUGGUGAAGGCCCACUUUCUGGUUCAUAGAUGGCACCUUCUAGCUGUUUCCUUAUACGACAGAAGGGGCUAGCUAGAUUUCUGGGAUCUCUUUUAUAAAGGCAUUACAAAUUGUGAGGGCUGCAUGCUUAUGACCUAAUCAUCUCCCGAAGACCCUAUCUCUUAAUACCAUCACCUUGAGGGUUAGGAUUUCAACAUGAGAAUUUUGAGAGGACACAUUCAGACCAUAGCAAAUACCAAGCUUUUUAUGGAUUCAUACUAUUUCAGAGAAUUAUACUGGUUGGCUAUAUCCUUAUUUCGAUUAUUACUAUCACCUUAAAAAAGGGAUUCUCAACUUUGAGCAUUACUGACAUUUUGGGCCAGAUCAUUUUGUUGUGGGGGCUGUCCUGUGUAUUGUAGGAUGUCUAGCAAUAUCCCUGGCCCCUCCCCACUAGAUGCCACUAGCACCUUGUCUACUACUCCUCCCCGCGCCCCCUACUUCCUCAGUAUGAUGACCCCAAAUGUUUC